RNAcentral lists this ribosomal RNA (301 nucleotides) under uncultured bacterium. RNAcentral's name for it is "partial 16S ribosomal RNA". It matches the Rfam family "Bacterial small subunit ribosomal RNA", at positions 509 to 807 of the family's 1533-position model. The record is from RNAcentral.
CAGUCGCCGCGGGAACACAGAGGGUGCGAGCGUUAAUCGGAUUUACUGGGCGUAAAGCGUGCGUAGGCGGCUUCUUAAGUCGGAUGUGAAAUCCCUGAGCUUAACUUAGGAAUUGCAUUCGAUACUGGGAAGCUAGAGUAUGGGAGAGGAUGGUAGAAUUCCAGGUGUAGCGGUGAAAUGCGUAGAGAUCUGGAGGAAUACCGAUGGCGAAGGCAGCCAUCUGGCCUAAUACUGACGCUGAGGUACGAAAGCAUGGGGAGCAAACAGGAUUAGAUACCCCGGUAGUCCCUGUCUCUUAUAC